UACGUAGGGGGCGAGCGUUGUCCGGAAUUACUGGGCGUAAAGGGUGAGUAGGCGGUUUGUUAAGUUGGAUGUGAAAUCCCCGGGCUUAACUCGGGACCUGCAUUCAAAACUGGCAGACUAGAGUGUCGGAGAGGAAAGCGGAAUUCCUGGUGUAGCGGUGAAAUGCAUAGAUAUCAGGAGGAACACCGGUGGCGAAGGCGGCUUUCUGGACGAUAACUGACGCUGAGGCACGAAAGCGUGGGGAG
This 245-nucleotide ribosomal RNA is filed under the name uncultured Eubacteriales bacterium. RNAcentral's name for it is "uncultured Clostridiales bacterium partial 16S ribosomal RNA". It matches the Rfam family "Bacterial small subunit ribosomal RNA", at positions 524 to 768 of the family's 1533-position model. Lineage: Bacteria; Bacillati; Bacillota; Clostridia; Eubacteriales. The record is from RNAcentral.